UGGGGAAUUUUGGACAAUGGGCGAAAGCCUGAUCCAGCAAUGCCGCGUGUGUGAAGAAGGCCUUCGGGUUGUAAAGCACUUUUGUCCGGAAAGAAAUCCUUGGCUCUAAUACAGUCGGGGGAUGACGGUACCGGAAGAAUAAGCACCGGCUAACUACGUGCCAGCAGCCGCGGUAAUACGUAGGGUGCAAGCGUUAAUCGGAAUUACUGGGCGUAAAGCGUGCGCAGGCGGUUUGCUAAGACCGAUGUGAAAUCCCCGGGCUCAACCUGGGAACUGCAUUGGUGACUGGCAGGCUAGAGUAUGGCAGAGGGGGGUAGAAUUCCACGUGUAGCAGUGAAAUGCGUAGAGAUGUGGAGGAAUACCGAUGGCGAAGGCAGCCCCCUGGGCAAUACUGACGCUCAUGCACGAAAGCGUGGGGAGCAAACAGGAUUAGAUACCCUGGUAGUCCACGCCCUAAACGAUGUCAACUAGUUGUUGGGGAUCAUUUCCUUAGUAACGUAGCUAACGCGUGAAGUUGACCGCCUGGGGAGUACGGUCGCAAGAUUAAAACUUAAAUGAAUUGACGGGGUCAUAGCUG
RNAcentral lists this ribosomal RNA (577 nucleotides) under uncultured bacterium. Its description in RNAcentral is "partial 16S ribosomal RNA". It matches the Rfam family "Bacterial small subunit ribosomal RNA", at positions 355 to 932 of the family's 1533-position model. The record is from RNAcentral.